This 276-nucleotide unclassified non-coding RNA is filed under the name Hevea brasiliensis (rubber tree). Lineage: Eukaryota; Viridiplantae; Streptophyta; Magnoliopsida; Malpighiales; Euphorbiaceae. The record is from RNAcentral.
UAGAUGCCAAGUCAAUUUUCCUAAUUGAUUACUCUUUAUCAUCUCAAACAGAUAAAGAUCGCCGCCGGCGAACGGAUUCAGCUAUGGAAACUCUUGAAUACUGGCUCGUCCAUCAUCCAAUCAUCACCAAUUUCGAAUGGAAUCAAAACUCCACAUUCGGUUCUUCACUUCUUUUCCUAGCUCUCACUGUCCUCACUUACCUCGCGCUCACUUUCUCUUUCCACUAUUUCCCUCUUCUCCCUACACUCUCCCCUGCCUCCCUACGCUUCAUCUCCG